RNAcentral lists this ribosomal RNA (515 nucleotides) under uncultured bacterium. RNAcentral's name for it is "partial 16S ribosomal RNA". It matches the Rfam family "Bacterial small subunit ribosomal RNA", at positions 28 to 523 of the family's 1533-position model. The record is from RNAcentral.
GAUGAACGCUGGCGGCGUGCCUAAUACAUGCAAGUCGAGCGAAUGGAUUAAGAGCUUGCUCUUAUGAAGUUAGCGGCGGACGGGUGAGUAACACGUGGGUAACCUGCCCAUAAGACUGGGAUAACUCCGGGAAACCGGGGCUAAUACCGGAUAAUAUUUUGAACUGCAUGGUUCAAAAUUGAAAGGCGGCUUCCGCUCUCACUUAUGGAUGGACCCGCGUCGCAUUAGCUAGUUGAUGAGGUAACGGCUCACCAAGGCAACGAUGCGUAGCCGACCUGAGAGGGUGAUCGGCCAAACUGGGACUGAGACACGGCCCAGACUCCUACGGGAGGCAGCAGUAGGGAAUCUUCCGCAAUGGACGAAAGUCUGACGGAGCAACGCCGCGUGAGUGAUGAAGGCUUCCGGGUCGUAAAACUCUGUUGUUAGGGAAGAACAAGUGCUAGUUGAAUAAGCUGGCACCUUGACGGUACCUAACCAGAAAGCCACGGCUAACUACGUGCCAGCCGCCGCCGUAA